This is a non-coding RNA of Xyrichtys novacula (pearly razorfish), 447 nucleotides long. Lineage: Eukaryota; Metazoa; Chordata; Actinopteri; Labriformes; Labridae. The record is from the annotation of a GenBank genome assembly.
GUUGUAAUAUGUUUUUUUUUUCUCUCUCUCUUUUCCUUUUUUUUUUUCUAUUUUACUUUAUUUUAACUCUUAAGUUUGUUUUUGUUAGUGAUUAAUUAAUAAUCAAAAGGGAGAAUUGUAAUUGUAAUUUUAAUGUCUUUGUUAAGAAUUGCUUGAGGUGCCCCUCACAACAGACUUUCCAAUCAACAUAUCAGUUAAUCAGCAUGUCUAGACAUCAACAGACAACAUCCUGCAGGAUGCUUCAGGUGUCACCACCACCCCAGGGGGGUGAAGUAACAGUCCCCACAGACAACAAAAGGUGCCAACACCUAAGCCCCAUUCCUUGCCCUCUGGGAGGCGGUCCUAAGGUAUAAUUAUUCUGUAUUCCCCUAGAUUCGGGGUCUUUUCUGAUCUACCCGCUCGGAUCCAGAUCGACCUUUUCUUUGCAAAGAAAAUAAAACCUUGUCG